RNAcentral lists this ribosomal RNA (446 nucleotides) under uncultured bacterium. RNAcentral's name for it is "partial 16S ribosomal RNA". It matches the Rfam family "Bacterial small subunit ribosomal RNA", at positions 338 to 795 of the family's 1533-position model. The record is from RNAcentral.
CCUACGGGUGGCAGCAGUCGAGAAUCAUUCACAAUGGGGGAAACCCUGAUGGUGCGACGCCGCGUGGGGGAAUGAAGGUCUUCGGAUUGUAAACCCCUGUCAUGUGGGAGCAAAUUAAAAAGAUAGUACCACAAGAGGAAGAGACGGCUAACUCGGUGACAGCAGCCGCGGUAAUACAGAGGUCUCAAGCGUUGUUCGGAAUCACUGGGCGUAAAGCGUGCGUAGGCUGUUUCGUAAGUCGUGUGUGAAAGGCGAGGGCUCAACCCGCGGACGGCACAUGAUACUGCGAGACUAGAGUAAUGGAGGGGAAACCGGAAUUCUCGGUGUAGCAGUGAAAUGCGUAGAUAUCGAGAGGAACACUCGUGGCGAAGGCGGGUUCCUGGACAUUAACUGACGCUGAGGCACGAAGGCCAGGGGAGCGAAAGGGAUUAGAUACCCCUGUAGUC